GACGGAGGGUGCAAGCGUUGUUCGGAUUCAUUGGGCGUAAAGGGCGUGUAGGCGGUCAAGUAAGUGGAAUGUGAAACGCCUCGGCUUACCCGAGGACCUGCAUCCCAAACUGCUUGGCUUGAGUAUGGGAGAGGAUGAGGGAAUUCCUGGUGUAGCGGUGAAAUGCGUAGAUAUCAGGAGGAACACCGGUGGCGAAAGCGCUCAUCUGGCCCAAUACUGACGCUGAGGCGCGAAAGCUAGGGGAGCAAACGGG
RNAcentral lists this ribosomal RNA (253 nucleotides) under uncultured bacterium. Its description in RNAcentral is "partial 16S ribosomal RNA". It matches the Rfam family "Bacterial small subunit ribosomal RNA", at positions 524 to 776 of the family's 1533-position model. The record is from RNAcentral.